AUUCCUGGAGGUAUUUAAGAAGUGCGUGGACAUGAAGCUAAGAUACAUGGUUUAGUCACAGGACUCAGCAGACAAUGUUGAUAGUUGGAAUUGGUCUUGAAGGUCUUUCCCUAUUUAGACAACUCUGAUUCUAUAAAAUUAGUUAGCUUGUUAGGGAGUAUCUAGUUUGUCUUUUCCUAAUUAUUAGUGGAGGAAGGGAAUACAUUCUCUGCAAGGACAUUCAAUGUGUGAAGUUUUGGUGUUUUUUUUUUUUUUUCCAGUGAUGAAAAAAAAAUAUCAGAAUUGCUUUGCAGAACACUAAGGGUCCAUUUCAGUCUGGUCUUCCCUGCUACUGCUCUGCUUUUGUGGAGAUCUUGGCUCCCAUGCUUUCUUUCCCUAUGCAAGGACAGACUUUUUAAAAUACUGGACACUGAAGAUGCUGGGUGUUGCAAAUACCAGGCAAUGUCACAAGGAGUUCCUGUUUCACCUCUCACAGAUGUACAUGGCACCAGUGUGAAAGACAUGGCAGAGAGGCCAGAGGGGACCCAGAGCUGCACUGGGAACACAAGUGCUGAGACUCAGAGCAGAGCAAGUGCAAACAGAGAAGAGCUUACCAUGUAGAAGCCUUCUGGUUGGUGCUUUGCUUCGUCUUCGUGUCCUUUCUUCGCAGCUGGUUCACGUGAGGGAACGCCAACAACGCUCACCCACUCUUCGGUAUUUUAAAAGUACUGUGUAUUUGUAAGAGUCGUUCUUUCAAGAACGAAGAGUGCCACCACUAAGUGACAUUUUGAACAAGAAGCCAAAAGCUGAUACAACAAUUCAAAAGCACACAAAUUAAAGUCAAUUGUAAAAUGGAUUUUCCAUUCCAUUAAAAAUGUCAGGAUUGAAAAAUUUUGACAUAUAAAAGAUCAUAUUAAAUAUUCAUAUUGAAUUAAGUGGGAACAAAAGCAGAAAUAUAUUCCAAAUAUUGUGCAAAAUUAAAUUCUGAAAACAAUUAGUUUAUCCAAAAUGUUUAAAUCCAAAUAUUUUGUUUACAUUUGAAUCCUUCCUCUUGUUUUCUAUUUCAAG
This 1047-nucleotide long non-coding RNA is filed under the name Phasianus colchicus (ring-necked pheasant). RNAcentral describes it as "lncRNA (ENSPCLG00000021190.1)". The record is from RNAcentral. Lineage: Eukaryota; Metazoa; Chordata; Aves; Galliformes; Phasianidae.